RNAcentral lists this transfer RNA (68 nucleotides) under Marmota monax (woodchuck). RNAcentral's name for it is "tRNA.Ala". The stretch from base 3 to 63 matches the Rfam family "tRNA", at positions 6 to 65 of the family's 71-position model. Rfam says of the family: Transfer RNA (tRNA) molecules are approximately 80 nucleotides in length. Lineage: Eukaryota; Metazoa; Chordata; Mammalia; Rodentia; Sciuridae. The record is from RNAcentral.
GUUGUGGCUCAGUGGUAGAGCACAUGCCUGGCAUGUGUGAGGCCCUGGGUUUGAUCCUCAGCACAGCA